Molecule: long non-coding RNA, 583 nt
Organism: Dreissena polymorpha
Lineage: Eukaryota; Metazoa; Mollusca; Bivalvia; Myida; Dreissenidae
Exons: 3
Source: RefSeq, a predicted model, not a curated record
UGUCCGUGAUCUGUAAAGUGAAAAUACACAGAGCUAUGAAGCAUACAAAUGUUUCGAAAUUUUAUCAAUGAUUGUAUACUAUGCAUGUUUUGAUUUAGUUCGUUUCAGAUUUGACAUGAGAUGAAAACCUGACAUGAUUUGAACAGAGCUGGGAAACGAAAAGAUUUUCAGAUGUGUGCUGGCAGUUCAAGUCUGGCAGCUGGAGUGAACAGUCGUGUUUUCUGGAGCUCCAACAAUAUGCUAGAAGGAGUGCUUAUCCAGUGAUGAUAUGACAGUUGGAGUGAACAGUGGAGCCAAGCAGUCUUGUUUUUGGAGCUACUCAACAAGCCUUGAAGGUAAGUUUAGAAUUUCUCAAUGUUAGUGAAUUGAAGUACUGUCACUUGCUUUUGGACAGUCGAACAGAACAGACGUGGUUGCGAGAGCUCUCAUAUCUGUUGUGUUAAACUGUUUUUAUGAUAUGUUAUGUUUGUUUGUUUGUUUGUGAUGUACUAUUUUUCAGAUGCUGAUGGCAGUGAUGGGUUUUCAAGCUGACCUGAACAGAAAAGCACUCAUAUGGUAAGUACAAAAUAGUUGUUAUAUGGGA